RNAcentral lists this ribosomal RNA (570 nucleotides) under uncultured bacterium. RNAcentral describes it as "bacterial SSU rRNA". It matches the Rfam family "Bacterial small subunit ribosomal RNA", at positions 64 to 645 of the family's 1533-position model. The record is from RNAcentral.
GAGAACCACUUCACUCGUAAGAGCGGGGUGGGGACAGUGGCGAACGGGUGCGUAACACGUGAGAAACCUGCCUUGGAGAUCGGGAUAGCCCGGGGAAACCCGGAUUAAUACCGAAUAUCUUCAUGACACCGCAUGGUGAUAUGAAGAAAUGGUCCGCCGCUCCAAGAUGGUCUCGCGGCCUAUCAGCUUGUUGGCGAGGUAACGGCUCACCAAGGCGAAGACGGGUAGCUGGUCUGAGAGGACGAUCAGCCACACUGGGACUGAGACACGGCCCAGACUCCUACGGGAGGCAGCAGCAGGGAAUAUUGCACAAUGGGCGAAAGCCUGAUGCAGCGACGCCGCGUGCGGGAUGAAGGCCUUCGGGUUGUAAACCGCUUUCAGCAGGGACGAAAAUGACGGUACCUGCAGAAGAAGCCCCGGCCAACUACGUGCCAGCAGCCGCGGUAAUACGUAGGGGGCGAGCGUUGUCCGGAUUUAUUGGGCGUAAAGGGCUCGUAGGCGGUUUGACAAGUCGGUCGUGAAAACCCGGGGCUCAACCCCGGGACGCCGGUCGAAACUGUCAUGACUAGG